UAACUAACUUUUCCAUAAUUAUUGAUCACCUUUUCUGUGUAUGAAUGAAAGGUAACUAGUUUAUUCCCAAUGUUGCAGAAAGCACGUGGUUGUGUUUACAUCUGAGUGAGCGGCGUGUGUGUGUUGCCAACUUGCCACCACACCGUCUGUCUGUCAAGUGUCACUCAUCUAACAAAGCUCGUGGUGCAGGCUUGUACAGGUGUGGCAGGCAGGUGUGGCGCCGAGCAGGUGUGCAGCAGGUGCAGGGUUGCGUGGUAGGUGCGUUCACUGGUCUGGGCUGUGUUGGUGUGUGUUCUGAAGAGAUGACCGCAGACACGCUGGCUGCUGAUGACUAUAUAGAGCCGCACAGAGGCAGUGUACUGUACAAGCUGGAUGGAAGUAUGCAAACCUCGCAAUGAAGAUGGAAAAGUAACAUGAACAAGGUUGUGAAUGUUCGGGUGUGGUGUGGAUGAGCAAGUGAGCGAGCUGGCAUUGGGAGCCGAGCGGGGGAGGCAGCGCGACGUGAGGCUAGCCAAGAUGUAGGAAAAUUGUACUGUACUUACUAUGGAAUGGUGUUGUUACUGUAAAGCAUACUUAAGAAAGAUCAAAAUAUGGCUCAUUUCCUUGUGUAUAAGUUUCCGGUGUGUGUGAGUGUGUAACUGUGGAUGGUUGAGCGAGGGUGUGGGUGCAGGCUGCAGACUGGGGCACAUGACGUGGAGCCUGUGGUGACCGGUGACUGGUGAGGCGGUGACUGGUUCACUCUGGUAUUUACACGACUGCCGAGGAAAUAAUACAUAAGUGUGUGUGUGUGUGUGUGUGUGUGUGUGUGUGUGUGUGUGUGGAGCAAGCUCAACUCACGAUGUUACUUGUAUAACACCCUGCUCCCUUCUGUCCCUCUCCUGUGUCCCGGGGCUGCCACGGACGGUAGUAGACAGGAUAACCUGGUGACCCAUCGUGUAGGGGAGGCAGUUUUUAGCAGCACAAGCGGCAAGACAAGAGUGAACCAGCAGUGCAAGGCAAGCCACCAUGACCUGCAGCCUUCACCACACCCCUCCUUCACUUACUCAAGGCUCAGGCGUGUAGAUGGAAGCAGUAAAAGGAAGGAAAAAGAAGAAAGAAAGGAGGAAAACGAAGAACAAAGGAGAAACAGAAGUGAAAGAGGAGGAGGAGCCAAGCCGCAAUGUUUAGGAUGUACCGGUGUCCCAAGCUGGUGGAUGUCCCGGUGGUGGUGGAGCUGCCCUUUGUCAUGUACAAAAUGGCACCUUUCACCUUAAAAGGCCACGAUUCGAGUCCCGCCCAGCUGAUGCAAACUUCCAAGCCCUGCCCAUCCUGCAGCCCCCGCGAGUGAUCCUGUACGCCCUGCCGCUGCUGCCGCUCCUGCUGGUGGUGACCCUGACAAUGAGAGUCAACCUGUGCUCUGUUCUCAGGGACUUUUACCAUUAUCGUGUGCUGUGAGAGGCGUAGAGCACUGUCUGGCUGUCCCCCUCCCCCCACCGCCCGCUCUCUCUCUCUCUCUCUCUCUCUCUCUCUCUCUCUCUCUCUCUCUCUCUCUCUCUCUCUCUCUCUCUCUGUCUUGUAUCAUAUUGCACCUUUUUGUGUGUUAAAUAGUUUAAAUAAAGGAAAAUAUAAGGAAAAUGUUGACUAAUUAUUACUAUUAUGAUUAUUAUUAUAAUUAUUAUAAUUAUUAUUAUUAUCGUUAUUAUUGUUGUUGUUGUUGUUGUUGUUGUUUUGACGUGUACAAGAUGGUAUAUAAAUAAUUUGCCUGUAUGUUGUGUUACUACUUAUGAAUGGUGUGUGUGUGUGUGUGUGUGUGUGUGUGUGUGUGUGUGUGUGUGUGUGUGUGUGUGUGUGUGUGUGUGUGUG
RNAcentral lists this long non-coding RNA (1842 nucleotides) under Portunus trituberculatus (swimming crab). Its description in RNAcentral is "uncharacterized LOC123503839, transcript variant X2". Lineage: Eukaryota; Metazoa; Arthropoda; Malacostraca; Decapoda; Portunidae. The record is from RNAcentral.